Molecule: ribosomal RNA, 1436 nt
Filed under: uncultured organism
Description: 16S ribosomal RNA
Rfam family: Bacterial small subunit ribosomal RNA
Source: RNAcentral
CAGGCUUAACACAUGCAAGUCGAGGGGCAGCAUGGUCUUAGCUUGCUAAGGCCGAUGGCGACCGGCGCACGGGUGAGUAACGCGUAUCCAACCUGCCUUACACUCUUGGACAGCCUUCUGAAAGGGAGAUUAAUACAAGAUGUUAUCAUGAGUAAGCAUUUUCGCAUGAUUAAAGGUUUACCGGUGUAAGAUGGGGAUGCGUUCCAUUAGAUAGUAGGCGGGGUAACGGCCCACCUAGUCUUCGAUGGAUAGGGGUUCUGAGAGGAAGGUCCCCCACAUUGGAACUGAGACACGGUCCAAACUCCUACGGGAGGCAGCAGUGAGGAAUAUUGGUCAAUGGACGAGAGUCUGAACCAGCCAAGUAGCGUGAAGGAUGAAGGUUCUAUGGAUUGUAAACUUCUUUUAUACGGGAAUAAACGAGUCCACGCGUGGAUUUUUGCAUGUACCGUAUGAAUAAGGAUCGGCUAACUCCGUGCCAGCAGCCGCGGUAAUACGGAGGAUCCGAGCGUUAUCCGGAUUUAUUGGGUUUAAAGGGAGCGUAGAUGGGUUGUUAAGUCAGUUGUGAAAGUUUGCGGCUCAACCGUAAAAUUGCAAUUGAUACUGGCAGUCUUGAGUACAGUUGAGGUAGGCGGAAUUCGUGGUGUAGCGGUGAAAUGCUUAGAUAUCACGAAGAACUCCGAUUGCGAAGGCAGCUUACUAACCUGUAACUGACAUUGAUGCUCGAAAGUGUGGGUAUCAAACAGGAUUAGAUACCCUGGUAGUCCACACGGUAAACGAUGAAUACUCGCUGUAGGCGAUAUACAGUCUGCGGCCAAGCGAAAGCAUUAGGUAUUCCACCUGGGGAGUACGCCGGCAACGGUGAAACUCAAAGGAAUUGACGGGGGCCCGCACAAGCGGAGGAACAUGUGGUUUAAUUCGAUGAUACGCGAGGAACCUUACCCGGGCUUAAAUUGCAACCGAAUAUGGCGGAAACGCUAUAGCUAGCAAUAGCGGUUGUGAAGGUGCUGCAUGGUUGUCGUCAGCUCGUGCCGUGAGGUGUCGGCUUAAGUGCCAUAACGAGCGCAACCCUUGCCGAUAGUUACUAACAGGUUAUGCUGAGGACUCUGUCGGGACUGCCAUCGUAAGAUGUGAGGAAGGUGGGGAUGACGUCAAAUCAGCACGGCCCUUACGUCCGGGGCUACACACGUGUUACAAUGGGGGGUACAGAGGGCUGCUACCACGCAAGUGGAUGCCAAUCCCAAAAACCUCUCUCAGUUCGGAUUGAAGUCUGCAACCCGACUUCAUGAAGCUGGAUUCGCUAGUAAUCGCGCAUCAGCCACGGCGCGGUGAAUACGUUCCCGGGCCUUGUACACACCGCCCGUCAAGCCAUGGGAGCCGGGGGUACCUGAAGUGCGUAACCGCAAGGAGCGCCCUAGGGUAAAACUGGUGACUGGGGC